GCCAGCAGCCAUAUUACCCUGCAACUCACAACUGGCAACCCACUGAAGCAAAGCAGGUGUGAGCCUGGUCAGUACCUUGAUGGGAGACAUCCUGGGAAAAACUAAGGUUGCUGCUGAAA
RNAcentral lists this ribosomal RNA (119 nucleotides) under Lepisosteus oculatus (spotted gar). The record is from RNAcentral. Lineage: Eukaryota; Metazoa; Chordata; Actinopteri; Semionotiformes; Lepisosteidae.